Molecule: ribosomal RNA, 253 nt
Filed under: uncultured bacterium
Lineage: Bacteria
Description: partial 16S ribosomal RNA
Rfam family: Bacterial small subunit ribosomal RNA
Source: RNAcentral
UACGUAGGGGGCAAGCGUUAUCCGGAUUUACUGGGUGUAAAGGGAGCGUAGACGGCGAUGCAAGCCAGAUGUGAAAGCCCGGGGCCCAACCCCGGGACUGCCCUUGGAACUGUGCGGCUGGAGUGCGGGAGGGGCAGGCGGAAUUCCUGGUGUAGCGGUGAAAUGCGUAGAUAUCAGGAGGAACACCGGCGGCGAAGGCGGCCUGCUGGACCGCGACUGACGUUGAGGCUCGAAAGCGUGGGGAGCGAACAGG